RNAcentral lists this ribosomal RNA (837 nucleotides) under uncultured Lactobacillus sp. RNAcentral's name for it is "bacterial SSU rRNA". It matches the Rfam family "Bacterial small subunit ribosomal RNA", at positions 664 to 1502 of the family's 1533-position model. Lineage: Bacteria; Bacillati; Bacillota; Bacilli; Lactobacillales; Lactobacillaceae. The record is from RNAcentral.
AAACUCCAUGUGUAGCGGUGAAAUGCGUAGAUAUAUGGAAGAACACCAGUGGCGAAGGCGGCUGUCUGGUCUGUAACUGACGCUGAGGCUCGAAAGUAUGGGUAGCAAACAGGAUUAGAUACCCUGGUAGUCCAUACCGUAAACGAUGAAUGCUAAGUGUUGGAGGGUUUCCCCCUUCAGUGCUGCAGCUAACGCAUUAAGCAUUCCGCCUGGGGAGUACGGCCGCAAGGCUGAAACUCAAAGGAAUUGACGGGGGCCCGCACAAGCGGUGGAGCAUGUGGUUUAAUUCGAAGCUACGCGAAGAACCUUACCAGGUCUUGACAUACUAUGCAAAUCUAAGAGAUUAGACGUUCCCUUCGGGGACAUGGAUACAGGUGGUGCAUGGUUGUCGUCAGCUCGUGUCGUGAGAUGUUGGGUUAAGUCCCGCAACGAGCGCAACCCUUAUUAUCAGUUGCCAGCAUUAAGUUGGGCACUCUGGUGAGACUGCCGGUGACAAACCGGAGGAAGGUGGGGAUGGCGUCAAAUCAUCAUGCCCCUUAUGACCUGGGCUACACACGUGCUACAAUGGAUGGUACAACGAGUUGCGAACUCGCGAGAGUAAGCUAAUCUCUUAAAGCCAUUCUCAGUUCGGAUUGUAGGCUGCAACUCGCCUACAUGAAGUCGGAAUCGCUAGUAAUCGCGGAUCAGCAUGCCGCGGUGAAUACGUUCCCGGGCCUUGUACACACCGCCCGUCACACCAUGAGAGUUUGUAACACCCAAAGUCGGUGGGGUAACCUUUAGGAACCAGCCGCCUAAGGUGGGACAGAUGAUUAGGGUGAAGUCGUAACAAGGUAACCA